UGAUGGGCGUUGGAGCAGCGGUUCGACGCAUGGGUUUCUCUUUAAUCCUUCCGACUUCCCCAAGCCCAGCGCACUCAGGUUCCGCUCCAAGUGCGGGACCCGCCCGGGGUGUGUCGGGGGUACUCGGCCGGAGGCGGCCGGUGAGUGAGGCUUACAGGGCCCCGGGACCAAGGAAGAAGUAAGGGGACUAGUGCCAUAGUGUCUUUGAACUCAUACCCCAUAUGAAGAGAACGUCAAAGAGGCUGGAUCACCUAAAGGGUUUAGAGAAAGUUUGGAAUUGGCUCAGAUCUGUCUUUUAUCAUAAAAGAUGAACUUGAAACCCAGA
Molecule: non-coding RNA, 325 nt
Filed under: Pan troglodytes (chimpanzee)
Lineage: Eukaryota; Metazoa; Chordata; Mammalia; Primates; Hominidae
Also listed under: 1 other name
Source: RNAcentral